This 492-nucleotide ribosomal RNA is filed under the name uncultured bacterium. RNAcentral's name for it is "bacterial SSU rRNA". It matches the Rfam family "Bacterial small subunit ribosomal RNA", at positions 29 to 526 of the family's 1533-position model. The record is from RNAcentral.
AUUGAACGCUGGCGGAAUGCUUUACACAUGCAAGUCGAGCGGCAGCGCGGGGCAACCUGGCGGCGAGCGGCGAACGGGUGAGUAAUGCAUCGGAACGUACCCAGUCGUGGGGGAUAACUGUCCGAAAGGACAGCUAAUACCGCAUACGUCCUGAGGGAGAAAGCGGGGGAUCGCAAGACCUCGCGCGAUUGGAGCGGCCGAUGCCGGAUUAGCUAGUUGGUAGGGUAAAGGCCUACCAAGGCGACGAUCCGUAGCUGGUCUGAGAGGAUGAUCAGCCACACUGGCACUGAGAUACGGGCCAGACUCCUACGGGAGGCAGCAGUGAGGAAUAUUGCGCAAUGGGCGAAAGCCUGACGCAGCGACGCCGCGUGGGGGAUGAAGGUUUUCGGAUUGUAAACCCCUUUCAUGAGGAAAGAUAAAGUGGGUAACCACUUAGACGGUACCUCAAGAAGAAGCCACGGCUAACUUCGUGCCAGCAGCCGCGGUAAAGUC